RNAcentral lists this ribosomal RNA (274 nucleotides) under uncultured bacterium. RNAcentral describes it as "partial 16S ribosomal RNA". It matches the Rfam family "Bacterial small subunit ribosomal RNA", at positions 523 to 796 of the family's 1533-position model. The record is from RNAcentral.
AUACGAAGGGUGCGAGCGUUAAUCGGAAUUACUGGGCGUAAGGCGCGCGUAGGCGGUUGGAUAAGUCGGAUGUGAAAGCCCCGGGCUCAACCUGGGAAUUGCAUUCGAAACUGUCCGGCUAGAGUAUGGUAGAGGGAAGCGGAAUUCCACAUGUAGCGGUGAAUUGCGUAGAUAUGUGGAGGAACACCAGUGGCGAAGGCGGCUUCCUGGACCAAUACUGACGCUGAGGUGCGAAAGCGUGGGGAGCAAACAGGAUUAGAAACCCCAGUAGUCC